RNAcentral lists this transfer RNA (70 nucleotides) under Caproicibacter fermentans. It matches the Rfam family "tRNA". From Rfam's summary of the family: Transfer RNA (tRNA) molecules are approximately 80 nucleotides in length. Their secondary structure includes four short double-helical elements and three loops (D, anti-codon, and T loops). Further hydrogen bonds mediate the characteristic L-shaped molecular structure. tRNAs have two regions of fundamental functional importance: the anti-codon, which is responsible for specific mRNA codon recognition, and the 3' end, to which the tRNAs corresponding amino acid is attached (by aminoacyl-tRNA synthetases). tRNAs cope with the degeneracy of the genetic code in two manners: having more than one tRNA (with a specific anti-codon) for a particular amino acid; and 'wobble' base-pairing, i.e. permitting non-standard base-pairing at the 3rd anti-codon position. Lineage: Bacteria; Bacillati; Bacillota; Clostridia; Eubacteriales; Acutalibacteraceae. The record is from Rfam by way of RNAcentral.
GCCCCAGUAGCUUAACGCAAGAGCAUUUGGUAAAUUCCAAAGGUUGUCGGUUCAACUCCGUCCCAGGGCA